Molecule: long non-coding RNA, 1090 nt
Filed under: Amazona collaria (yellow-billed parrot)
Lineage: Eukaryota; Metazoa; Chordata; Aves; Psittaciformes; Psittacidae
Description: lncRNA (ENSACOG00000016759.1)
Source: RNAcentral
UCUGCGUCAUUACACAAGUACAGUUGCACUGCUUCAGGACAAAAACUGGGACAGGCACAGCGGAAUGGAGCAUGCUGCAGAGACUGACGAGCUCAGGAGUUUAAUAUCCAUCAUACAACCCAGGCUUAACCCCCCAUGGCAGGGAGAAGCUAUGGACUAAUAGUAACUCGCUUCAUGCUGCUCCUGUUCCUGCUGUGUCAGAUGAUGGUGGGAAGUGGCUCCCAGUAUCACCCUGUUUGCAGAGAGCUUUUUUCCCAGUUCAGAAUAUUGUCUUGUGCCCAUUAAUUUUUUGGAUCUUUGAGGCUUUUAAGCAUUCUGAUCUUAGGCCCGGGAAUGGGAUUUCUUAAAUAAAGCCUGAACGAUACAAGUUAAAUGCAAACUUCACAGUAAAACAAAGCUGCCAUUGAUGUGCAUGACAAAAUGUGAUAUUGUGGCUGGCAUACAUAGCAGCACGAGCAAAUAACAGAUGCAUAAACAUCUUUAAUGCUUUAUGAGGCCUUGAAGGAUAUUUCCAGACCUGUCAGGUUUGGAGUUUUUGCAUGUGAGGAUUCCCCAUCUGGCACUGAAAGAAAGGAAAUCAAGAAAGGAAAUGGGAAUGUUUUUGACAUGUCUCUUAAUCAUUAACCUUCUCAGUGGAUGCUUCAUUUAAUGACGCUGACCAUUGUAUUUGCUUUGAUGCUCUGCCCUCUGGACUAUGGCAGAGGCUGGGCCAUCUCUGGUGAAGAUACAGAAGAUGAGGAUCCUACAUGUGAUGGCCCAGGACUACUGGAGGGGUUUCUGAAACUGGAUUCUGGGUAGAUAAACCAGGUACCGUCAGUGCAACAGUGCUGGGAAAUUAUUACACGAGGCCUUGCCAAAGGCUCCAUCAAGACAGGAGCAGCACGGCAGGACUGGGCAGGGGAGCAGCACAGACACCACACACGUUCUCCUCCCGGCUCUUCCACGCCGCGAGGAAGCCCGGGCUGCGGGAGCACCGCUCCGCUCGGCAGCGGCCACCCGCGGCCGCGCUCCCACUCGGCCAUGGCCGCUGGCGCCGCGCACGCAGCGCCGCGAGAGGCCGUCCCCGGCCGGCGCUUGACGGACAGUCCGC